This 676-nucleotide ribosomal RNA is filed under the name cf. Acremonium sp. 540/LP2. RNAcentral's name for it is "SSU rRNA". It matches the Rfam family "Eukaryotic small subunit ribosomal RNA", at positions 301 to 982 of the family's 1831-position model. Lineage: Eukaryota; Fungi; Ascomycota; Sordariomycetes; Hypocreales; Bionectriaceae. The record is from RNAcentral.
AAAUUUCUUCCCUAUCAACUUUCGAUGUUUGGGUAUUGGCCAAACAUGGUUGCAACGGGUAACGGAGGGUUAGGGCUCGACCCCGGAGAAGGAGCCUGAGAAACGGCUACUACAUCCAAGGAAGGCAGCAGGCGCGCAAAUUACCCAAUCCCGACUCGGGGAGGUAGUGACAAUAAAUACUGAUACAGGGCCCUUUCGGGCCUUGUAAUUGGAAUGAGUACAAUUUAAAUCCCUUAACGAGGAACAAUUGGAGGGCAAGUCUGGUGCCAGCAGCCGCGGUAAUUCCAGCUCCAAUAGCGUAUAUUAAAGUUGUUGUGGUUAAAAAGCUCGUAGUUGAACCUUGGGCCUGGCUGGCCGGUCCGCCUCACCGCGUGCACUGGUCCGGCCGGGCCUUUCCCUCUGUGGAACCCCAUACCCUUCACUGGGCGUGGCGGGGAAACAGGACAUUUACUUUGAAAAAAUUAGAGUGCUCCAGGCAGGCCUAUGCUCGAAUACAUUAGCAUGGAAUAAUAAAAUAGGACGCGCGGUUCUAUUUUGUUGGUUUAUAGGACCGCCGUAAUGAUUAAUAGGGACAGUCGGGGGCAUCAGUAUUCAACUGUCAGAGGUGAAAUUCUUGGAUCAGUUGAAGACUAACUACUGCGAAAGCAUUUGCCAAGGAUGUUUUCAUUAAUCANGA